GAUCCAGACUCCUACGGGAGGCAGCAGUGAGGAAUAUUGGUCAAUGGCCGAGAGGCUGAACCAGCCAAGUCGCGUGAGGGAAGAAUGUCCUAUGGCUUGUAAACCUCUUUUGUCAGGGAGCAAAGUCACCCACGUGUGGGUGUUGGAGAGUACCUGAAGAAAAAGCAUCGGCUAACUCCGUGCCAGCAACCGCGGUAAUACGGAGGAUGCGAGCGUUAUCCGGAUUUAUUGGGUUUAAAGGGUGCGCAGGCGGAGGUGCAAGUCAGCGGUCAAAUUGCGGGGCUCAACCCCGUACUGCCGUUGAAACUGGCAGUCUCGAGUUGGAGAGAAGUAUGCGGAAUGCGCGGUGUAGCGGUGAAAUGCAUAGAUAUCGCGCAGAACUCCGAUUGCGAAGGCAGCAUGCCGGCUCCACACUGACGCUGAGGCACGAAAGCGUGGGUAUCGAACAGGAUUAGAUACCCGUGUA
RNAcentral lists this ribosomal RNA (466 nucleotides) under uncultured bacterium. Its description in RNAcentral is "bacterial SSU rRNA". It matches the Rfam family "Bacterial small subunit ribosomal RNA", at positions 328 to 792 of the family's 1533-position model. The record is from RNAcentral.